This is an RNA transcript of Gymnodraco acuticeps, 9882 nucleotides long. It is a transcript of the gene named LIM zinc-binding domain-containing Nebulette-like, with no coding region annotated. The transcript has 65 exons. The record is from RefSeq and is a predicted model, not a curated record. NCBI's taxonomy places the organism in Eukaryota, Metazoa, Chordata, Actinopteri, Perciformes, Bathydraconidae.
ACACACACACACACACACACACACACACACACACACACACACACACACACACACACACACACACACACACACACACACACACACACACACACACACACACACACACACACACACAUAUAUACACUAUGUUACUGUUUGUCCUGGUGUGUGUAUGAAAGUAAGGGGUGCACUUUGGUCAGUGAGCACAAUCACACACAUACACAAAAUAUCGACAAGUGUUGAAGAUAUCAGCUGAGUGAUGAGGAGCUUCUUAUGGAACCAAUGAAUAAGUAAGUAAGUAUUAUUUUUCAUUUUUUAUGUGUUUUAAAGCCAGUCAAUAUGUCAGUUAUUCAAUUAGAAAUGUAUUAACAAAAUAAAUAAAUGUUUUAUGUUGCAUGUACAUCAACAACAUCCUGAGCACGACUUAUAUCUAACAUAUUUUAAAUACCAGUGUCUAACAUACAGUGCAUUAUAUAUAAUGGACAUUCAGAGCUCCAAGAGACAAGUAGGCUGAAGAUUAACCAACAUUUAAAUAAUUAAAUAAUACUUUGCAAAGUGUCUUUAGAAAAGUCAAUAAUGAAUGAGGUGGAGGAUGAAGAAUCCCAUCAUGUAAACAAUUAAUUAUUAAUUAUAUCGAAACAGCUCGGAGUGUAAUAUGUAACGUAGAUAUAAGUAAAAUACUUAUUUAAUAGAAGCAAAAACAUUUGGGAGUUGGACUAAACCAUCAGCCAUGUUUGUAAAUGUGCUUUUAAUUCAACUGUAUAUUAAUUACAUUUGAGUUUUAUGGUAACAAUACAGCUUUUAAACAUAAAAGUUACAAUUGUGUAUGUUUAAUUAUUGUAUGUGUGUGAGGGUGUGUGUGUGCACAGAUGCUUCUCCCAUGUGUCCCAAUGACCCAGUGACCCAGCAGAUGAUGCCAAGGUAGUGUGUGUUUAUCUUUUUUUAUAAAACAGUUUUUCAUCGUAUGUUGAUCAUAUAAAAACAUGAUGAAUGUUGGUGUAAAAGCAUGAAAUGCACAUUAAACAUUCAUUUAUGUGCAUUAAAAAAACAUUACAAUGCACUAUUCUGGUGUGCUCUCUUAUAGAAGAUGUUAUUAAUAUUUUAAUCUUAAAUGUACUAUAUACUUGUAGGUCACUUUAUGUGAGACACAGAUUCAAAGAUGGGAUAAAUAAAGUAUUCUAUUCUAGUUUAUUUGUUAUAUUCUUGUUUUUAUUUUAUAUACUUAAAACGUUUUUUGUGUCUUCCCCUGUGCUGCAGUAACACAUACAUUUGUCCUUAGGGGCUCCAAAAACAUUUAUUUGAUCUUAAAGUAGACAAUAAAUCCCCUUUUUAAAAUGUGUUAAGUUACUUUCUUCCCACAUCACAUUUGGGCUUUGAUUUUUAUUCUCCUGCCUGUUCUCCUUCCCUUUGUUGUUCUGUCCUCUCCUCUGUGCUCUCUGUAUCUCUCUCCCUGUUUCUCUCCCCUCUCCUCUGUUUACCUGACCGAGUGAUCCCAUUAUUCCUCCGCGGUAAUACACCCCGGAUUCUCUCAUCUCAUUUGCUUCACUUUAAUUAAUUCACACACAUUAACUCUCUCUGUGUGAUAUUCAACAGCCUACACUUUUAUCUUAUUACUCCGCUCUUCUCAAGGUCAAAGAGAGAGAGUAGAGGAUGGAAUUUAUGUUUAAAAAUGUUUCCUGAUAUCACAGAAAAUACAUAAUUAGCUUUCAUCGUCAGUUUCUGCAUGCAGAGCAGUGUGUUCAGACUCAGCUGUUAUUCAGACAGCCAUGUUGUGUUUAAAGACCUCUGUAAUCAGGAUGUGUCUCUGUUUUUAUGCUUUAUUGUGGGUGUGACUAUACAGAUUAGAAAAAUGAAAAGCACAAAAUACACUCUACAUUUGGCUGAGGUGGAAAGUUGAGCAAAUAGUCUGUCGACCGAAAUGUUACUUUACGCAAUAAUUCAUUUGUUUAUGCUUCUUUCAUGCAGAAUAAUGAAUAAUUUGACUUUACCACAAGAUAUUAAAAUUGUUCAGUUUUGAUGUUUUGUGGGAUAUAUCACUAUCAAAUUUUGUAAGGCCUUUAAUGCAGAAUAACCUCUUCAUCACCUGUUUGUUGUUGUUUGAUAAAUAAGCGUUUUCUUGGUGUUGUUGUUAAGGGUAAGUGAGUGUUUUCUUGUUAUUUGUAUGGAUAAACUAUUGUUUCCUUGUUGUUGUUGUUGUUGUUGAGGGUAAAUGAGUGUUUUCAUGAUUUUGUUAAGGACACAUUUGUGUUUUCUUGUUGUUUUGGUGGACAAAUAUGCCUUUUCUUGUUGUUGGUGAGGAGGAUACAUUAGUGUUUUCUUAAUUUUGCUUAGGAUAAAUGUGUGUUUUCGUGUUGCUGUUAAGGAUACAUUAGUGUUCUCUCAUUGUUGUUAUUGUUGUUGUGGAUACAUUUGUAUUUUCUUGUUGUUGUUGUGAAGCUUCUCGUUGUGUAUCAGCAGAUGGGCGCUGUCCUGUUUACCUCGGCUGCCAUCUGACGCUCCUCACUGCCAGAUACCUGCUGCUGUCAGGACUCUGUUGCAAUACUAUUCAUCUUUAUGAGGUGACGUCAUGGAGGAAGAAGAGACUCCAGCUGCAGAGAGGAGAGAAGUUUUGACCGGGGAGAAGGAGAGGAUGGACGUGGAGGAGGAGGGGGAAACUGAGAAACCAAGCAAGGAGGAGAGAGAGGAGGAAGGAGGAGAGGAGGAGACAGGAGAGUCAUUGCAGGAGACCCUGGUUACGAAAAAGGUUUUUUCCGCAACUACAAGAAGUACGAUCGUGGAGGAGACGUUGGAGGAAACUGAGAAAGCUAAAGAAGAUGAGGAAGGAGGAGAGGAAGAUGAGGCUCAGGCUAAGAAGGUUCUGGGAUCCUGGGAAGCAGAGGUGUCCUCUGAUGAAAAGCCUCCUCUUCCUGACCCUGCAUUCAACAGGAGGUGCAGCCUGAUCGUCAGUGAAGUGAAGUAUAAGGAGGACUUUGAGAAGAUGAGGGGUCAGAGUCUGUUUGUUCCUGGAGCCGAACUCAUCCACUCCAAGAACAUCAGUGCCGUGAUAUCCGAGUCGAAGUACAAAGAGGAGGGGAAGAAGGAGGCGUCCAUGUCUCUGUACUCCAUUUUGCCGCAGACCCCUGAGAUUCAACACGCCAAAGAGGCCUCACAGCUGCAGAGCGACGUGAAGUACAAAGAGAAGAUUUCCCCCUCUCUUUACUCUCUGCUGCCAGAAACCACAGAGACUCAGUUUGUCAAGGAGCUGACGGAGAUGCUCAGCGAGAACAAGUACAAGGAGGAAUGGAGGAAGGAGAUGAGCAGCAGUUUGUACUCUCAGAUGGCAGAAACUUCUGAGAUGCAGCUGGCCAAAACCGUACACCAGUUUCAAAGCGAGAAAAAGUACAAAGAAGACGGGAAGAGGAGGGCCUCCAUCUCUCUCUACUCCCAACUCCCAGAAACUCCAGAAAUACAACACGCUAUGGAGAUGUCCCAGAUGCAGAGUGAGGUGAAUUGUCGGCCCAGUCUUUUGGUGAAAGGCGCUCCUUCCUCUCUGUACUCCCAGCUGACCGACACCUCAGAGAUCCAGUUCGCACGAGAGAUGACGGAAAUGCAGAGCGAGAGUAAAUAUAAGGAGGGCAGCAGGAUGAGCAUCUCUCAGAGUUUCUACUCUCAGCUCCCAGAGACCAACGAGACGCAGUUUGCUAAGAAUGUUGCAGAGCUGCAAAGUGAGAUGCGGUACAAAGAGGCGGGUAAGAAGGGGGUGAACUCGUGUUUGUACUCCCAGCUGCCCGAGACCUUAGAGACGGCUCACGCUAAAGAAGCCUCCGAGCUCCUCAGUGAGGUGAAGUAUAAAGAGGAGGGGAAGAAGGAGAUGAGCAUGAACCUGUACUCCUUGCUGCCUCAGACCAUCGACACGCAGCACGCUAAAGAGGUUACAAACCUGCAGAGUGAGAUAAAGUAUAAGGAAGGAGUGAAGCAGAAGAAUCAGAGCACUUUGUUCCAUCAGCUCCCAGAGACCACAGAGACUCAGCUGGCCAAACAGCUGACUGACCUGCAGAGCCAGGCAAAGUAUAAGGAAGCAGGAAAGAAGGAGGUGAACAGCUGCCUGUACUCUCUGCUGCCUGAAACUCUGGAGACUCAGCACGCUAAAGAGAGCACUCAGCUCCUCAGUGAGAUUAAGUACAGGGAGAGUGGGAAGAAGGAGGCGUCCAGCUCCCUCUACUCCUCUCUGCCCGACACGUCAGAGACGAGCUUCGCCAGAGAGAUGAGCGACAUGCAGAGCGAGACUAAGUACAGAGAGCUUGGGAUGAAGAGCCUCUCUCAGAGCGUCUACUCUCAGCUCCCAGAGACCACAGACACUCAGUUUGCUAAAAGUGUUUCUGAGCUGCAGAGCGAGAUGAAGUACAAGCGUGGAAAGAAGGACAUCUCCUCUCUGUACUCCACACUGCCUGAGACUCUGGACAUUCUGCACGCCAAAAAGGCUUCAAAGCUGCAGAGCGAACUGAAGUAUAAGCAGAAAGGAUCCUCCGGUCUGUUCCACCUGCUGCCGGAGACCUUAGAGACGGCCCGCGCCAAGGAGGUCUCCGAGCUCCUCAGCGAGGUGAAGUAUAAAGAGGAGGGGAAGAAGGAGAUGAGCAUGAACCUGUACUCCUUGCUGCCUCAGACCAUCGACACGCAGCACGCUAAAGAGGUUACAAACCUGCAGAGUGAGGUGAAGUAUAAGGAAGGAGUGAAGCAAAAGAAUCAGAGCAGUUUGUUCCAUCGGCUCCCAGAGACCACCGAGACUCAGCUGGCCAAACAGAUGUCUGACCUGCAGAGCCAGAAUAAGUACCAGGAGGCGGGUAAGAAGGAGGUGGAGACGUCUCUGUACUCCCUCAUGCCUCACACCAUGGACACACAGCACGCUAAAGAAGCUGGCGAGCUCCUCAGUGAUAUCAAAUACAAAGAAAGCAUGAAGACGGCGAUGAGCCGCUCCCUCUACUCCACUCUGCCCGACACAACAGAAAACAGUUUGGCCAGAGAGAUGAGCGACAUGCAGAGCGAGAACAAGUACAAGGAGGACGGGAAGAGGAGCCUCCCUCAGAGUUUCUACUCUCAGCUCGCUGAAACACCGCAGAUUGAGUUCGCUAAAAAUGUCUCUGAGCUGCAGAGUGAGAUGAAAUAUAAAGAAGCAGGGAAGAAAGGAGUGACGAGCUCUCUGUACUCCACUCUGCCCGAGACUCUGGAUACACAACACGCUAAAGAGGCUUCACAGCUGCAGAGCCAGCUGAAGUAUAAGCAGAGUCUAAAGAAAGACGCCUCCAGUCUGUUCCACCUGAUGCCAGAAACCAACGACACCAUGUUCCAUAAGCAGCAGACGGAGAUGCUCAGUGAGGUGAAGUAUAAAGAAGAGGGGAAGAAAGAGAUGAACAUCAACCUGUACUCUCUGCUGCCUGACACCAUCGACACGCAGCACGCUAAAGAGCAGACGGACAUGCAGAGCGAGGCUAAAUACAAAGAGGCCGGGAAGAAGCAAACGUCCUCGUCUCUGUACCAAACACUUCCUGAAACUCUGGAGACUCGGCACGCUAAAGAGGCCACACAGCUGCAGAGCCAGACCCUGUAUAAAGAGGCCGGUAAGAAGGAAAUGUCGUCUCCGUUUUACCACCUGAUGACGGACACUCUGGAGAAUCAGUUCGCCCGAGAGAUCACUCACUUGCAGAGCCAAAAUAGGUAUAAAGAAGACGGGAUGAGGAAUCUCUCUCAGAGUUUCUACUCUCAGCUGCCAGAAACUGCUGAGACUCAGUUUGCUAAAUCUGUUUCUGAGCUGCAGAGCGAGACAAAGUAUAAGAAGUCUGGGCGUCAGGAUGCUGGCAGCUCUCUGUACUCUGUGAUGGCAGAAACUCUGGACACACAACACGCCAAGCAGGCCUCACAGAACCAGAGCCAGGUGAAGUACAGAGAGGAGGUGGGGAAGUCGAGCAGUCUGUUCUCCACCCUCCCUCACACUAUGCAGACGCAGCUGGCCAAAGAGCAGACGCAGCUGCAGAGUCAGGUGAAAUAUAAAGAGGGACACAAGAAGGACGUGUCCUCCUCUCUUUACCACCUCCUCCCUGAGACCGCAGAGAUGCAUCUGGCCAAACACCAGUCAGAGAUCCAGAGCCAGACAAAGUACAAGAAGGACCAAGAGGAUCUUUCUGAGACGUUGUUCUCUUUGAUGCCGGAGACUCUGGAGACUCAGUUUGUGAAAGAGAUGUCUGAGACACACAGCGAGGUGAAGUAUAAGCAGGCUGGGAAGCAGCAGACAGCGUCUUCUCUUUACUCCAAACUUCCAGAAACUCUGGAGACGAAACACGCCAAGGAAGCGACUGAACUGCAGAGUGAGAAAAAGUACAAAGAUGAGGGGAGGAAGGACAUGACGUCGUCUCUUUACUCUCAGCUUCCUGAUACAUCAGAGACUCAGUUUGCACGAGAGAUGAGCGAGAUUCAGAGUGAGAACAAGUACAAGGAGAGUGGGAAGAAGAGCCAGUCUGUCAGUAUGUACUCUCAGCUGGCAGACACCAACGAGAUCCAGUUUGCAAAAUCUGUUUCUGAAAUACAAAGUGAGGCUAAAUAUAAGGAGGCAGGGAGAAAAGAGGCGUGCAGCUCUCUGUACUCGAAGCUGCCGCAGACUCUGGACACGCUGCACGCUAAAGAGGCCUCACAGCUGCAGAGCCAGGUGAAGUAUAAGCAGGAGAGCAGGAAGGAGGCGACCAGCUCUCUGUACCACCAGCUACCUGAAACCUCAGAGACUCAGCUGGCUAAAGAUCUGAAAAACAUUCACAGCGAGGUGAAGUAUAAAGAAGAGGGGAGGAAGGAGUUGGGGAAGAACUUGUACUCGCUCCUCCCUGAGACGGCAGACACAUUCUUCGCCAAGCAGAUGUCAGAAAUACAGAGCCAGACAAAGUACAAGAAGGACAGAGAGGAUCUUUCUGAAACGCUGUUCUCUUUGAUGCCGGAGACCCUGGAGACUCAGUUUAUCAAAGAGAUGUCUGAGACACACAGUGAGGUCAAGUAUAAAGAAGCAGGAAAGAAAGAGGCCAGCAGCGCUCUGUACCACAAACUACCGGAGACUCUGGAGACGCAGCAUGCUAAAGAGGCCACUGAGCUGCAGAGUGAGAAUAAGUACAAAGAGGACUGGAAGAAGUCGAUGUGGUGCAGUCAUUACGCCCAGCUGCCGCUCACCGCCGAGACGCAGCUCGCCGCCAAGAUGACCAAACUGCAGAGCGAGAGUAAAUACAAAGAGGAAGGGAUGAGGAGUCUCUCUCAGAGUUUCUACUCUCAGCUGCCAGAAACUCCUGAGACUCAGUUAGCUAAAACCGUCUCUGAGCUACAGAGCGAGGCUAAGUAUAAGGAGGCGAGCAGGAAGGAGGCGGGCAGCGCUCUGUACCACACACUGCCUGAAACUCUGGACACGCUGCACGCUAAAGAGGCCUCCGAGCUGCAGAGCCAGGUGAAGUAUAAGGAAGGAGGGAAGAAGGAUAUGGGCUCCUCUCUGUACUCUGUGCUGCCGCAGACAGAAGAGAUGAAGGUCGCUAAAGCUGCCAUGGAGCUGCAGAGUGAGAACAAAUAUAAGGAGAAAGGCAGGCAGGAGAACAGCUGCAGUGCUUUCCACCAGAUGGCUGAGACUAAAGAGAUGGACUUCAUCAAACACAUCUCUGAACUCCAGAGUGAGACAAAGUACAAGAAGGACAAAGAGGAUCUUCCCAACACGUUGUUCUCUCUGCUGCCGGAGACUCUGGAGACUCAGUUUGUGAAAGAGAUGUCUGAGACACACAGCGAGAGUAAAUACAAGCAGGCGAGUAAGAAGGAGCUGGGGAACUCUCUGUACUCUGUGUUGCCAGAGACCAAGGACACUCAACACGCCAAAGAGCAGAGUCAGCUGCACAGCGAGAAAGCGUACAGGGAGGAGGGGAAGAAGGACGCCGGCUGCAGUCUGUACUCUCAGAUGCCUCAAACCAUCGAGACGGUGUUCGCCAAAGAGAUCGCCAAGACACAGAGCGAUAAGUUUUAUAAGGAGAAGUUCAACCGAGACAAGGGGAAGUCGAGCUACACCAACAUGGCGACGCUGCCGGAGGUGGAGCACGCCAUGGAGGUGAACAGGAACCAGAGCGAGGUCAGCUACAGGAAAGGUAGAGAGGAGAUGCAUCGCUACAGCUCAGAGGCCAACAGACCCGACAUCAUCAACGCCUCCAAUGCUUCGAAGCUGGCCAGCGACGUAGCCUAUAAGAGUAAGCAGCAUGUUUACAGUGACGGCUUUCUUCUGGCGCGGACUGACAUCCAGCAUGCCAGGGAGGUGUCAAAACUGGCCAGCCAGGUGAAGUAUAAGGAGAACUUUGACAAAGAUUUAAAGGGCCAGCGUCCGUGUUACAACCCUCUGGACUGUCUCUCCUUCAAACACACACAAGCCGCUUCUGCCCUGGCCAGCCAGGUGAAAUAUAAGAUGAACCAGAAGCAGAAGCCAGAGUCUUCCUCAGACCUGCCCAACCUGCUCAACCUGGAGCACGUCCUGCACGCCAGCAAGCUGCAGAGCAACGUGGAGUAUAAGAAGAAGUAUGAGCAGUCCAAGGGUCAGUUCCACACGGCAGUGGACACGGCGGAGCAGAUUCACCACAGAGAGAACGCCACGCUGCACAGCCAGGUGAAGUACAGAGAGGAGUAUGAGAGGAACAAAGGUCGCUCUCAGAUGGAGUUUGCAGACACAGAGCACUACAAAGUGUCUAAAGAAGCUCAGAAGAUGCAAAGCGAGAGGGAGUAUCGGAAAGAUCACGAUGAGCAGAUGAAGGGGAGAGCCUCGAUGGACGUAGACCAGACCCCUGGAUACAUCACAGCCUGCCACGCCAGCAGCCUGAUGAGCCAGAAGGAGUACCGCAAGGAUAUGGAGCGGGACAUCGUGGGGAAAGGCAUGGAGCUGAGCGCUGACGUCCUCGACAUGCAACGAGCCAAGAGAGCCUCAGAGAUCCAGAGCCAGAGAUCCUAUAAGCAGAAGGAGACAGGAAGCUCCUUCGGGACAGUGACAGACACUCCUGAGCUGCUCCACGCCUCCUACCUCAAAGACAUGUACAGUCAGAAGAAGUAUAAAGACGAAGCGGAGCGUCUGAAGGGUCGCUACAGUCUGACCUCAGAGACCCCCGAGAUGGAGAGAGUCAGAAACAACCAGAGGCACAUCAGCUCUCUGCGGUACUGCUGGGACUCUCGUCUGAUGCGAGGCCUCCUGUCUUCAGUCACAGAGACACCGGAGAUCGUCCUCGCCAGAGAGAACAGCAAGAGGAUCAGUGACGUGCAGUACAGAGAGGGGGUGGGGAGCGGCACCUCCGUCAGCGACACCCCUGAGAUGGAGAGGGUCCGACGCAACCAGGAGAACAUCAGCUCAGUGAAGUACAGGCAGAGUGCAGUGAAGGCCUGCAGCGUCGGAGUGACUCCUGAACUGGAGAGAGUCAAACAGAACCAGGAGAACAUCAGCUCGGUGAAGUACCAGCGGGGGCUGCAAGAGCUGAGGGGGCGGAGCUGCAACGAGCUCGACACACCUGAGUACCGCCGAGUCAGGAAGUCACAGGACACCAUCUCCAUGGUAGCGGCUGCGUUGCCGAGGCUCCCCCUUGAGAUGUGGGCGGAGAUAACAAGAGUGACAUGGCACAGGAGGCUGGACUGAGGCACCGAUACUAAAACAGUGCACUGAGUGUGUGUGUGUAUUUUAGUGUGUGUGUGUCCACUUAAGCUCCAAGAAGACAGGGGUUACGGACUGCGAAGUACCACGAGGAAUUUGAGCGUGCGCGGGGCCGAGGCUGCACGCCGGGAUUGGAUGAGCCCAGCAUGGAGCGCUACCAGAGAGCCAAUCAGAUGAUAGGAGAGGCGGUGUACGGCAAAGGGAUGCACCCCCAAGGCAUGGAGACGGACAGACGGCCG